UGGGGAAUUUUGGACAAUGGGCGAAAGCCUGAUCCAGCAAUGCCGCGUGUGUGAAGAAGGCCUUCGGGUUGUAAAGCACUUUUGUCCGGAAAGAAAUGGCUCUGGUUAAUACCUGGGGUCGAUGACGGUACCGGAAGAAUAAGGACCGGCUAACUACGUGCCAGCAGCCGCUGUAAUACGUAGGGUCCAAGCGUUAAUCGGAAUUACUGGGCGUAAAGCGUGCGCAGGCGGUUGUGCAAGACCGAUGUGAAAUCCCCGAGCUUAACUUGGGAAUUGCAUUGGUGACUGCACGGCUAGAGUGUGUCAGAGGGGGGUAGAAUUCCACGUGUAGCAGUGAAAUGCGUAGAGAUGUGGAGGAAUACCGAUGGCGAAGGCAGCCCCCUGGGAUAACACUGACGCUCAUGCACGAAAGCGUGGGGAGCAAACAGG
Molecule: ribosomal RNA, 429 nt
Filed under: Bacillota bacterium
Lineage: Bacteria; Bacillati; Bacillota
Description: Firmicutes bacterium partial 16S ribosomal RNA
Rfam family: Bacterial small subunit ribosomal RNA
Source: RNAcentral